This 98-nucleotide transfer RNA is filed under the name Desulfobacterales bacterium. Its description in RNAcentral is "tRNA-OTHER". Lineage: Bacteria; Pseudomonadati; Thermodesulfobacteriota; Desulfobacteria; Desulfobacterales. The record is from RNAcentral.
GGAGCCGAAUUGGUUUGCUGUCAUCAAGUCACAUUUCAUUUUAACUUCUGUGCACGCACCCUUGAUGAUCAGUGCGGGUUCAAUCCCCGCCGGCUCCA